GGUUGCGAUCAUACCAGCACUAAUGCACCGGAUCCCAUCAGAACUCCGCAGUUAAGCGUGCUUGGGGAGAGUAGUACUAGGAUGGGUGACCCCCUGGGAAGUCCUCGUGUUGCAACCC
This 118-nucleotide ribosomal RNA is filed under the name Helianthus annuus (common sunflower). Lineage: Eukaryota; Viridiplantae; Streptophyta; Magnoliopsida; Asterales; Asteraceae. The record is from RNAcentral.